UGGGGAAUAUUGGACAAUGGGCGCAAGCCUGAUCCAGCAAUGCCGCGUGUGUGAAGAAGGCCUUCGGGUUGUAAGGCACUUUUAUCAGGAGCGAAACGCUGUCGGCUAAUACCCGGCGGAACUGACGGUACCUGAGGAAUAAGCACCGGCUAACUUCGUGCCAGCAGCCGCGGUAAUACGAAGGGUGCAAGCGUUAAUCGGAAUUACUGGGCGUAAAGCGUGCGUAGGCGGUUUCUUAAGUCUGCUGUGAAAUCCCCGGGCUCAACCUGGGAAUGGCAGUGGAUACUGGGAGGCUAGAGUGUGUCAGAGGGUGGUGGAAUUCCCGGUGUAGCGGUGAAAUGCGUAGAGAUCGGGAGGAACAUCAGUGGCGAAGGCGGCCACCUGGGACAACACUGACGCUGAGGCACGAAAAGCGUGGGGAGCAAACAGGAUUAGAUACCCUGGUAGUCCACGCCCUAAACGAUGCGAACUGGAUGUUGGUCUCAACUCGGAGAUCAGUGUCGAAGCUAACGCGUUAAGUUCGCCGCCUGGGGAGUACGGUCGCAAGACUGAAACUCAAAGGAAUUGACGGGGUCAUAGCUGUUUCCUG
This 589-nucleotide ribosomal RNA is filed under the name uncultured bacterium. Its description in RNAcentral is "partial 16S ribosomal RNA". It matches the Rfam family "Bacterial small subunit ribosomal RNA", at positions 355 to 1376 of the family's 1533-position model. The record is from RNAcentral.